UGUUGUCCCGGGGUAAGGGUGUAGGACGAGUGGUAGGCAAAUCCGCCAUUCAUUAAGUCUGAGACCUGAUGCCGAGCCGAUUGUGGUGAAGUGGAUGAUCCUAUGCUGUCGAGAAAAUCCUCUAGCGAGUUUCAUGGCGGCCCGUACCCUAAACCGACUCAGGUGGUCAGGUAGAGAAUACCGAGGCGUUCGGGAGAACCAUGGUUAAGGAACUCGGCAAAAUGCCCCCGUAACUUCGGGAGAAGGGGGGCCAUCACUGGUGAAGGCAUUUACUGUCUGAGCUGGGGGUGGCCGCAGAGACCAGCGAGAAGCGACUGUUUACUAAAAACACAGGUCCGUGCGAAGCCGUAAGGCGAUGUAUACGGACUGACGCCUGCCCGGUGCUGGAACGUUAAGGGGACCGGUUAGUCACUCUUCGGGGUGGCGAAGCUGAGAACUUAAGCGCCAGUAAACGGCGGUGGUAACUAUAACCAUCCUAAGGUAGCGAAAUUCCUUGUCGGGUAAGUUCCGACCUGCACGAAUGGCGUAACGACUUCUCGACUGUCUCAACCAUAGGCCCGGUGAAAUUGCACUACGAGUAAAGAUGCUCGUUUCGCGCAGCAGGACGGAAAGACCCCGGGACCUUUACUACAGUUUGAUAUUGGUGUUCGGUUCGGCUUGUGUAGGAUAGCUGGGAGACUGUGAACUCUGGACGCCAGUUCAGGGGGAGUCGUCGUUGAAAUACCAGUCUGGUCGUGCUGGAUGUCUAACCUGGGUCCGUGAUCCGGAUCAGGGACAGUGUCUGAUGGGUAGUUUAACUGGGGCGGUUGCCUCCUAAAGAGUAACGGAGGCGCCCAAAGGUUCCCUCAGCCUGGUUGGCAAUCAGGUGUUGAGUGUAAGUGCACAAGGGAGCUUGACUGUGAGACCGACGGGUCGAGCAGGGACGAAAGUCGGGACUAGUGAUCCGGCGGUGGCUUGUGGAAGCGCCGUCGCUCAACGGAUAAAAGGUACCCCGGGGAUAACAGGCUGAUCUUCCCCAAGAGUCCAUAUCGACGGGAUGGUUUGGCACCUCGAUGUCGGCUCGUCGCAUCCUGGGGCUGGAGUCGGUCCCAAGGGUUGGGCUGUUCGCCCAUUAAAGCGGUACGCGAGCUGGGUUUAGAACGUCGUGAGACAGUUCGGUCCCUAUCCGCUGCGCGCGCAGGAACAUUGAGAAGGGCUGUCCCUUGUACGAGAGGACCGGGACGGACGAACCUCUGGUGUGCCAGUUGUUCUGCCAAGGGCAUGGCUGGUUGGCUACGUUCGGGAGGGAUAACCGCUGAAAGCAUCUAAGCGGGAAGCCUGCUUCGAGAUGAGUGUUCCCACCCCCUUGAGGGGUUAAGGCUCCCAGUAGACGACUGGGUUGAUAGGCCGGAUCUGGAAGGCGGGUAACCGCUGGAGGUGACCGGUACUAAUAGGCCGAGGGCUUGUCC
This 1448-nucleotide ribosomal RNA is filed under the name metagenome. Its description in RNAcentral is "bacterial LSU rRNA". It matches the Rfam family "Bacterial large subunit ribosomal RNA", at positions 1500 to 2925 of the family's 2925-position model. The record is from RNAcentral.